RNAcentral lists this transfer RNA (77 nucleotides) under Nitrospirota bacterium. RNAcentral's name for it is "Nitrospirae bacterium (sediment metagenome) tRNA-Asp". It matches the Rfam family "tRNA". Rfam says of the family: Transfer RNA (tRNA) molecules are approximately 80 nucleotides in length. Their secondary structure includes four short double-helical elements and three loops (D, anti-codon, and T loops). Further hydrogen bonds mediate the characteristic L-shaped molecular structure. tRNAs have two regions of fundamental functional importance: the anti-codon, which is responsible for specific mRNA codon recognition, and the 3' end, to which the tRNAs corresponding amino acid is attached (by aminoacyl-tRNA synthetases). tRNAs cope with the degeneracy of the genetic code in two manners: having more than one tRNA (with a specific anti-codon) for a particular amino acid; and 'wobble' base-pairing, i.e. permitting non-standard base-pairing at the 3rd anti-codon position. The record is from RNAcentral. Lineage: Bacteria; Pseudomonadati; Nitrospirota.
GGGGCUGUAGUUCAACUGGUUAGAGCACCGGAUUGUCAAUCCGGAAGUUAGGGAUUCGAGUUCCCUCGGCCCCGCCA